Molecule: ribosomal RNA, 435 nt
Filed under: uncultured Oscillospiraceae bacterium
Lineage: Bacteria; Bacillati; Bacillota; Clostridia; Eubacteriales; Oscillospiraceae
Description: partial 16S ribosomal RNA
Rfam family: Bacterial small subunit ribosomal RNA
Source: RNAcentral
ACGGGAGGCAGCAGUGGGGAAUAUUGCGCAAUGGGGGAAACCCUGACGCAGCAACGCCGCGUGAAGGAAGAAGGUCUUCGGAUUGUAAACUUCUGUCUUAUGGGACGAAGAAUGACGGUACCAUAGGAGGAAGCCACGGCUAACUACGUGCCAGCAGCCGCGGUAAUACGUAGGUGGCAAGCGUUAUCCGGAUUUACUGGGUGUAAAGGGCGUGUAGGCGGGAUAGCAAGUCAGAUGUGAAAUACCGAGGCUUAACUUCGGGGCUGCAUUUGAAACUACUGUUCUUGAGUGUCGGAGAGGAAAGCGGAAUUCCUAGUGUAGCGGUGAAAUGCGUAGAUAUUAGGAGGAACACCGGUGGCGAAGGCGGCUUUCUGGACGAUAACUGACGCUGAGGCGCGAAAGCGUGGGUAGCAAACAGGAUUAGAUACCCUGGUA